UGUGGGGGCGAGCUUGCUCGCGAUGACGGUGUGUCAGUCAACCGAUUCGGCACUGAUGUACCGCUAUCGCGAGCAAGCUCGCUCCCACA
RNAcentral lists this unclassified non-coding RNA (89 nucleotides) under Pseudomonas sp. NFACC15-1. Lineage: Bacteria; Pseudomonadati; Pseudomonadota; Gammaproteobacteria; Pseudomonadales; Pseudomonadaceae. RNAcentral also lists the same sequence under 1 other name. The record is from RNAcentral.